UUUCAUACGGUGAUUUACAUUUCGAUUUUGAUCAUCGGUCAUUUUUAAUAAACGUUUACUUUUGUCGAUUCAACAAUAAUUCCCUAUAAAUUCGGGUGCAUUUUUGAGCCUUGUGUUCCAAUUGCCGACCAUUGCAUCGUGAAUACAACAUUUUCGAACGCGCUUUUUGUCAUUUUGCAGUGAAUGUGACAGUGUUGUUGAUUUAAUUUUCAUUACAAUGAAGAAGAGACGUGCAAAAAUAAAUUCAGCCUUUAAGAAAACAACGCAAAAUUGAACGACAAUGAAGAGUUGCGAUCGAUAAAACUGUCAGCGCCUUCGGUAUUCAAGUCUGAAUAUUCGGAAGCGUUAACAGAGCAUUUUUUCCAUAAAUGCUACGAUGGUACAGUAAUAUGCUACCUAGGUCUAGAGGGAAAGAACAAGCCAAAAAGCUAAAAAAA
Molecule: long non-coding RNA, 437 nt
Organism: Contarinia nasturtii (swede midge)
Lineage: Eukaryota; Metazoa; Arthropoda; Insecta; Diptera; Cecidomyiidae
Exons: 3
Source: RefSeq, a predicted model, not a curated record